RNAcentral lists this ribosomal RNA (481 nucleotides) under Epicarchesium corlissi. RNAcentral's name for it is "eukaryotic LSU rRNA". The stretch from base 130 to 275 matches the Rfam family "5.8S ribosomal RNA". The record is from RNAcentral. Lineage: Eukaryota; Ciliophora; Oligohymenophorea; Sessilida; Vorticellidae.
GUAGGUGAACCUGCGGAAGGAUCAUUCAUAAUAUGUUUGUUCUUCUACAACUCGUGUUCAUUGCUGGCUUCGGCUUGCAAGUUUACCUAUUCUAGGUUUUUACUGUUACAAAAACACCUAAAUAUCAUAAAUUUUCAACGAUGGAUAUCUAGGCUCCUAUACCGAUGAAGAACGCAGCGAAGUGCGAUAAGCAAUGCGAAUUGCAGAACCGCGAGUCAUCAGAUCUUUGAACGCAAGUGGCGGUAGCUUCGGCUAUCAUGUUUGUUUCAGCGUAUCCGGUUAAUUACAUCAUGUAACUUAAUGUGAUUGACUCUGUCUCUCACCAAGUACGGAGUUACUUCAGCGUAACGCCUAACCGAAGCAGUCACUAACUGGUGAUCCUCGUUUAGAGCAGAAGCUGGUAAGCAGUAACUCGAUAACCGUUUAUCCACUAAUGGUACCUGAAAUAAGCAAGACUACCCGCUGAACUUAAGCAUAUCAG